CCUACGGGUGGCUGCAGUGGGGAAUAUUGGACAAUGGGGGGAACCCUGAUCCAGCCAUGCCGCGUGUGUGAAGAAGGCCCUCGGGUUGUAAAGCACUUUCAGUGAGGAAGAACGCCUGGUGGUUAAUACCCAUCAGGAAAGACAUCACUCACAGAAGAAGCACCGGCUAACUCCGUGCCAGCAGCCGCGGUAAUACGGAGGGUGCGAGCGUUAAUCGGAAUUACUGGGCGUAAAGCGCGCGUAGGUGGCUUGAUAAGCCGGUUGUGAAAGCCCCGGGCUCAACCUGGGAACGGCAUCCAGAACUGUCAAGCUAGAGUGCAGGAGAGGAAGGUAGAAUUCCCGGUGUAGCGGUGAAAUGCGUAGAGAUCGGGAGGAAUACCAGUGGCGAAGGCGGCCUUCUGGACUGACACUGACACUGAGGUGCGAAAGCGUGGGUAGCAAACAGGCUUAGAUACCCUAGUAGUC
This 465-nucleotide ribosomal RNA is filed under the name Vreelandella stevensii. RNAcentral describes it as "partial 16S ribosomal RNA". It matches the Rfam family "Bacterial small subunit ribosomal RNA", at positions 338 to 795 of the family's 1533-position model. The record is from RNAcentral. Lineage: Bacteria; Pseudomonadati; Pseudomonadota; Gammaproteobacteria; Oceanospirillales; Halomonadaceae.